This 1054-nucleotide long non-coding RNA is filed under the name Mytilus galloprovincialis (Mediterranean mussel). The record is from RNAcentral. Lineage: Eukaryota; Metazoa; Mollusca; Bivalvia; Mytilida; Mytilidae.
CUUUAUGAUCAGAACUACUCCGAUGUCGCUCUAAGCAGUACCAUUCUGACAAUUAUCGGAGGUAUCGUUGGUAUCCUAGGAAACGGUUCAGUCAUUAUAUGUUACUUCUUUCGUAUUCAGGAAAGAGGAGAGCGUUAUUUUAUUCCGGUGUUAGCAGUUGUAGAUUUAGUUGCUUGUAUAACAAGUUCUAUUUUCUACGUUAUGGAUAAUACAUUUUUCUUCAAUUAUCCCAAUGAUUUGAUGUGUCGUAUUCUAAUAUUUUUGCAGCUGCUUGUGCCAGCGAUUUCCGCAAGUUUAUUACUGAUAAUUAGUGUUCAAAGAUAUCUGUUAGUUUGCAAGCCUGCAAGUUUGCAAGACCAAGGAUGACAUUACGUUGGAAGAGGAUUGCCAUUGGUGUUGCAUGUUUGUUCACCCUUACUUACUCUGCACCGGUUCUUGCAAUAUCUGGAAUUAAAACAUCAUAUGAAACUUUUCAGAAUUAUACAGUACAGAUUAAAGUCUGUAAAUUUUCAACAGCAGAAACUUCAGCUAUGACAACAGCGUUUCUUCUUCUGUUAACGAUUAUCAGUAUUCUGAUAACCAUAAGUUUGUUCAUACCUGUUUUGAAAAAGAUACAACUCUCCUUUCUAGGGAAAUUCAGACGAAAACGUCGGAAUACGCUACCUGAUGAUGAUUCGGUUCCAAAACAUAAUAUAGAACUUAGAAGAUACAAAAGAAAAACUCCUGAAAUUCAGAUCCAGAAAAAAUCCAGCUCAAACCCAAGCAUCAAUACAUCAUCCUCUACUUUGAUAAAUGAUCUGGAUAUAAAUAAAACAGUAAAUACUUUCACAACCGAGGACAAUGAAAGAACAAGAAAGGAAAAGGCAACAAGAAAAAUAACAAUUAUGCUUUUUGUCAUCAUUGCUGCUUAUGUUUUAUCAUAUUUUCCUUCUUUAAUCACUUUAAUCGUAGUAUAUGCUGAUGGCGAUCUCAAUAUCGGCUCUAUAUCCAGGGAGUCAGCAUUUAUUUUUAUUUACUUUGCGCGUUUCGUCUUUCUUAACCACAUUGUCAAUCC